AGCCCGACAGCCUAUCACCGAGCGAUACACCGGGAUGCCACACCGACCGACACUCUCCUGGUCUUUACUACAGUUUCUCUUCCUCUCUCAGCGAGAAAACAACGAUGACCAGAGUGCCUUUUAUUUUUUCCGGGUUUUUUUUUUUUUUUUUUUUUUGCACGAACUGUGUGUAAUGAGUGCGCCGUCAGAAUUUUUAACUGCAAACUUUUUUUUUCGGUGGAUUUACAAAUAUGUUCAGGUGUUUUAGAAUUUGCCUGGUUGUGACAUCAGAAACUAGAAAACAAUUCAAGAUGGAGUCCUGGAAUGCCUCAAGCCCUGCUGAGAGAAAGAGAGAGAGGAAGGAGAGGAGUCACUCGCUCUGUGAUUCUGGCAGUGCUUGGUCAUGUUGCCGAGAGUGUGAGUGUGUGAUUGAGAGAGAGGGACCCUCUCUAGGUGAUGGUGUAGCAGCACAGAAUGGUUUGUGGUGAUACAGAUGCAGGCCGUGAUGUGCUGCAGCAUCAAUUCCUGGGACCUACGCAGUCGAGAGAGAGAGAGAGAGAGAAGAGAAGGAUUGUGUGUGUUUGUGUGUGUGAAUGUGUGUUGUCUUGCUUUAGCAGCAUGUAAAUAUUGGAGUUACUCCUUGGCAAAUGCCUCCAAUAUUGCUCAUGCUGCUGAAGCAAGAAGUCACCAAACAGCACAUGCACGUCAUCUUUUUAUCUCAGCUACUAGGGCCUAGCUGGUGCAGGUAGUGGCUGACUCACUGGCACUGAAAUACCUUCAUGGUCUGAAUCAUCAAACCAACAUAGAGAAGCCAUGCAGGAGGACCCUCGCUCUCACCGGAAUGAACUGAAUGGUCAAAGGUAAAGAUAGGUGCAGUGUUUCGUUUUGUUUGAGAAGUUAAGUAGCUUUUUUUAAGUCAUGUGUUUUUCUUGUUUAUAGGAGAAGUAUUCUUAAUAUGUAAAAAUACAAUUUUAUCCUUGUAUCCUAUUUUUUGUUUGUUUCAAUCUUUUUUUUUUUAUGAAAUAUUCCAAAUGAAAUCACUGUUUUCCUAAACGUGCUGUUGCAUUUUUGUGUUAAUGCAAGUAAAUAAUAAAACUGAAAAAAGAGGAAAAUCUCGUCUGAGCUGUCGCACACUCAUUUGAACCUCGUUAGCGCAUCUGUUGUCGCUGUAUAUGUUCAGCACUUUCCACAAGGAACGCAACUUUUAUUUCGGAGAUCUCAUCUUUGUGGUCGCUUUUCGUCUCUACUGUAUUUGAAUACUGUUGUAGAAAUGUGUUAUUUUUCUGUUGAUGAACCAGUAUAACCAAGUGCGUUAAUUUGAUUUUUUGUAUUAUAUUUUAUUUUUCAAGUUUUCCUCAUUUCUGGUGAGUACACUGAGAGCACAAAACUGACUCAAAUAGACUUUUCCCGACAAUAACAAAUAAGCAAGGUUUUUAGAUAUUUAUAUGGAGAUUAUUCCGCUGGUUAAAAUGGACGGCAUAUUAAUAUUAGAGGAAAAUGUCUCCAUGUUCUUGCUGGAGAGGUUACCGAACGGCGCAUGCGUACCAUAGGCCUAUCAUUCUUAUAUAACAUCAGCAUUAAAAAGCUUAUCUCCCAGCGACUUUCUGCAAGUUAUUUUUCGGUUUUCCCGGUAGAUGUAAAUGACGUGUGACAGCACUUGUAUUAAAUAAUAGCCUACACAAUUUUUGUGAGAUUUCACACAAAGUUCCGUAGGCCUUAAAAAAAGAAGAAGAAAAAAGCAGUAUAAUGCAGUGCAGGGGUCAAAUAGCCUACCAUUAAAAAAAUUACGCCAUUUUAUGAAAAUAAAUCAGAAAGACACAUUUAUGAGCGGGCUAAAUCAUCUUAGCACAUAUAACCACGAUUUGGACUCGUUCUUGCCAUGUCUUUGAGAAAUUAUAAUUAUUUUAUUUAUUUGUUUUUGUAUGAUUACCGGGGUCAAAUAUGUUUUUUUUUUUUUUUUUUUUUUUUUUUUUUUUUUAAGGGCCCAUUUUAUAAGGGACCCAUUUACAGGCAGAAAUGUGUGUGUGUGUGUGUUUUAAUGUCUGAAUGCUGCGUUUGCCCGAUUUGAUCACAUUUUCUAUCUUUGACAAUAAAGGAAAGACGUUUUAUUAUUAUGUAUUUAGUUUGUUUGUUUAAUUGACCAGCACUUAAAACCGUUGUUGCCUUUAGCUCGUAACACGAUCACUUCUGACACAGGUCGAUUUAAUCUUCUGACGCUUCGUUUCAGUCAUAUGAUGCUUUUAGACAUGAUCUAAAGAUGGUCCGCGCAGCUGAGAUAAUGUAGCAACAGUGCACAGUUUCAUAGAGAUUUUAAUCUAUUAUUUGGUAAUGGCAAAACAUACACAUUUUAAUAAUUUAAUGGAAAAGUUUUUCAAAAUGAAAUGGCUCAUUGUCUCUUUUUUUUUUUUUUUUUUUUUUUUUUUUUUUUUUUUUUUUGCAAAUAGAUAGCCUAACUUGAUAUGAGGACGGAUUUGUAAGCGCCUCUUUUAAUUAUUAAAUAGCUUAUGUUUUAUCAGAACCUAAAUUAAUGUUUUCCGCGCACACUUAUUUUGCUGAGUGAUGCAUUGGGAAGUUCUGUUAUAAGAUGACAUUUUACAUGGCUGUGAAAAAUAUCUAGGCUGUUUAAUUUAGAUUACUUUUAGGCAGACAUUUAAAUAAAAUACAUGUUUGUUUGUUUUUCGCUUAAUUUAAUUAUGAAUAGACUGGUUUUUACAACUAGUUGCAGUUACUGAUCCUCGUGUGUAGACACAAGUACCGAGGGGAAAAAAAGUCCGUCUAUUUUUUUUUAAGUGUGCGAGUGUGUUUAUGUCGGGGAAACUUAGGUAUGUCCAAAUAAAUUCACCUUCAAAUAUUACAGCUCUCGAUAUUUUCUCUGCACACAGCUGCUGAUUUCCAAGCUCUUCUUUUAAUUCAGUAGACAAAAGAAUGGGAUUGAAGUCUGAAAUCCUUGCGGAUCUUUGCUGAGUGCCUUAACUGUUAGAUGCAGGACAGUGCAUAUGUAGAAGGUUAACGCAAUUUUAAUAAAUACAAUGUGUAGGCUAUUUUAUUCAUUUAUUUUGCUAUCUCGACAACCAUAACACUUCGUCCGGGAGUUUUGAGACAUUUGCAACUAUAGGCUAAUUGCUGAUGUUCCUUAUUGCUGCAUCAUUUAUCAGAAUACAAGGUUGUGUUGCUAUUUCAGGAUGCGCCGCAUGAUACACUUUCAUUUAUGCAGCUUGAAAUUUAAAUUUAAACAGUGAUCAUAUUUCGUGUAUCUGGUGUAGGCUGUCCGGUUAUAUAAUGGGCAAAUGUGUGUUUGCUUUAGUGUCUGCAAAAAAAGGAACACAACUAAUGCAUUUCACAUUUUGCUACAGGACACUUUUUUUUUUUUUUUUUUUUUUUUUUUUUU
Cyprinus carpio (common carp) is the source of this 3367-nucleotide long non-coding RNA. RefSeq lists it as uncharacterized. NCBI's taxonomy places the organism in Eukaryota, Metazoa, Chordata, Actinopteri, Cypriniformes, Cyprinidae. The record is from RefSeq and is a predicted model, not a curated record.